UGAUAUGCCACUAUUAGAAACACAACUCA
Molecule: non-coding RNA, 29 nt
Filed under: Mus musculus (house mouse)
Lineage: Eukaryota; Metazoa; Chordata; Mammalia; Rodentia; Muridae
Source: RNAcentral